Molecule: long non-coding RNA, 2842 nt
Organism: Lemur catta (Ring-tailed lemur)
Lineage: Eukaryota; Metazoa; Chordata; Mammalia; Primates; Lemuridae
Exons: 15
Source: RefSeq, a predicted model, not a curated record
AAACAUAUUUAAAAGGAUGAACACCUGACUGCAGUGUGAAAGAAGGAUGGUGUGAGAGGACAGAGACAAGAGACAGGGAGAACGUGGACUCCUGCAGGCACCUAGAAGAGAAGAUAGUUCAGAAGGAAAACUGAAAAGACUUGAUCGAGCUCAAGUCCUUCUGCAGUCACCAGGGCUGGCGGUGUGGGGAGAAGCAGCAGCUGGUUUCAGCCUUCGCAACUCAGCCCCUCCCAGGAGAGAGGCAGAAUACACUUCCCUGCCCCCACUGGCUUUGGGCUUGGCCAGUGCAACUUUUUAUGGUCAACAGAACAGGAGUGAAGUUGCCAUGUGCCGUGUGUGGGCAGAAGCUUGCAGUGGUGUGGUUUGGUGAGGCGCUCUUCAGCCUUGACCUCCUCGUGAGAGCAGCAUGUGCCUUGGCCCCGGCUCCUGGAAUGAGACCACGCAUGCUGAGCUGAAUCCAGCUGAGUGGAGCCAUCAGAGUCACAGUUGGCCUUCAGUCAACCUGCAGCCCUCAUGAAAUGUGAGCAAGAAAUAAAUCUUUGGUUUUUGAGCCACUGAGAAUUUGGUGUUGUUUGUCGCUGUAGCAAAAACUGAUGCAACGUUCGAACACAAGUCUGACUGACUCCAAAGCUUCUACAAACUCUCAGUGAAAAUGAACAAUGUCUAAUUGAAUUUGAAAACCUACUAUGUGUUCAAUCUUCAGUUGCUGAGGCUCUCACUUCUUUCAAGACUUUGCUCAGUUCCACUCUCUCACUGAUGCUUGUGCAGAGCACCUGGUUUCCUUCCACAACCUGCUUUUCCAGCUCUGCCACCUCAGGAUUUCUGAUUCCCUUUACCUGGAUCUAUGUUUUCUCUUUUUAAAGUGUUCAUCUCCUGGGCGCUGAAAAGCAUACAUAGAACGUAGUCCCUGCCACAAGACUCUGAACGGUGGGCGUGGAUGGAGAGCAUUUUUCUUAGUGGUUUCCUGUGACUAUAAUCCCUCCCAUGGAACCUGGCUAAGUGCAUUUCUGCUGCUACAACAGAACACCACAGACUGGAAAGCAGAAAGGCAAGUGAUGAGUGCGAGAGACGGAGAGAGAAUGGGGCUGAACUUAUCCUGGGUCAACAAGAGAUAGAGAUGGAAUCAAAGUUUACCCUUGAAAAAUCCAGGCAAGAGGAUGCCAAACCUGUCAGGCUCGAAAGAUGCAAGGAUAGCAUGCAAUUAAAUGCUUGGGGCAGCGAACACCUUCAGACCUUGGUCAUCACAGACAAAGCGAGGACAGAGAAACUGAAGGUCCCUGCCCCGGCUUUGGCAGUGAAGGCACUGAAAUGAUCCAGAUACGCUGAUGAAUCCGUCACUUCUGGCUGAGUUAUGUGGUGCUCAGGACUGACGCUCGUACCACCCACCCGGUGAGGGCAACCUCAGCUCCUCGAGCUCACAGAACCUAUUGUUCUGCCCCCUUCUUACCCAGGCUGUCACUGCCGCCCUCCACCUCCAAACCGGGAGGGCAGGGAAAUGACUCCCCAGAGAGCCAUUUCUCAUGAACCAUGUAUACUGCCCAUAAAAGUGUGCAAACUGCUUGUGUGUGCGGGACGCGUAAACUGGAAGCUGCGUCAGCAUCUGCACACAAAUCACUUCUUAAAAUUUUAGAGAUGUUGCAGUGGACAAUAAUUGUUGAGACUGUUGGCUGUUGACCAAACCAGAUUCCUCUUCUUCCUGGGCUCACGUGGUUUCCAAGGCAACUGGAAGUGGUCACAAGACUGAGUCCUAGUCAAUGGAAUAUGUGCAGAUGUGUCCUGGCUUCUCCAGCCACGCCUGUACCCCCAGGGCCCAGCGAAGCUGCAUGGAGGCAUCUGUUGGCCUGGCCAUUGGCCCUGCUCUUCAGCAUCUUUGUGCUGCAGAUGGACAAGCCAGAUCCAAGGGACCAGCUGCACGGUGCCCCAGACCUCUAACAUGGCUGUCGUUUUCCCGGGAAAGCCUUGGGAUCCUAGCGUACCCACCCACUCCUUUUUAAGAACGACGUUUUUCAGCUCUUCCUCCGUGUGAGGACCCAGUGUUCCGUCUGGCACAGCAAGGCUCCCAGCAAGGCCCUGACCAGACACUGAAUCUGCUGGCACCUUGACCUUGGACUUCCCAGCCUUCAGAAUUGUGUUGUCUAUUCCCCGGCCCACUGCUCUGGCCCGGCCUUACGACUCACUCUGAACGAAAGAACGAAGCAGAAGUGAUGUCAUGUGACUUCCCGGCCUUGGCUUCAGGAAGCCUUGCAGCUCUUGCCCUGGUUCUCUUGGAAUGCUGCCACCGCCAAAUAGGUUGGUCCUCGCUCUCCUGCUGCAGACACAGGGCCCCGCUGACAGCCAGCGACAACCACCAACCAUGAGACUGAGGCUGUCUGGGCCGUUCAGCCUCAGGUAAGCCAUCGGAUGGCUGAUGACCCUGGAGACACAGCCGGCAGAAGAACCACCAGGGAGGCUUAGCGCAAAUUGCAGAACUGUGAGCAAAUUAAUGGAACGGCCAUCACACACGACACACGGAGACACGAUCCCGCACCCCGAGGUAUGCGACACCGGGCGGCGCGUGCCCGAGCCCCACGGGUCGUCUGCAACCCAGACAGACGCGGGAUGCCGGCGGCCAGGAACCCUGGCCUCUCCUGGCUCUCUCCCCAAAGCAAAACCCACCGUGGACGCCGCGGAGAACCGGGAAACCUCAUGGCUUUCAUCAUUUCCUUUCCCCAAGCUCCAUGUGGCGCGCAGGACACUCCGUUUUCCUGCAGGUUUGCGUCUUCCCGAGAGGCGAGCGGAGGAGGGGAGAGCGGAUCUGCGCGCCCAGGGCGCGGGGCGCAGAGGGGAGCAGCCCGCCCCGCGC